This 799-nucleotide ribosomal RNA is filed under the name Jiangella sp. 1011MAR4D78. Its description in RNAcentral is "bacterial SSU rRNA". It matches the Rfam family "Bacterial small subunit ribosomal RNA", at positions 56 to 866 of the family's 1533-position model. Lineage: Bacteria; Bacillati; Actinomycetota; Actinomycetes; Jiangellales; Jiangellaceae. The record is from RNAcentral.
UGCAAGUCGAGCGGAAAGGCCUUUCGGGGUACUCGAGCGGCGAACGGGUGAGUAACACGUGGGUAACCUGCCUUCAGCUCUGGGAUAAGCCUGGGAAACUGGGUCUAAUACCGGAUAUGACACGCGACCGCAUGGUGUGUGUGUGGAAAGAUUUUGUGGCUGGAGAUGGACUCGCGKCCUAUCAGCUUGUUGGUGGGGUAGUGGCCUACCAAGGCGAUGACGGGUAGCCGGCCUGAGAGGGCGACCGGCCACACUGGGACUGAGACACGGCCCAGACUCCUACGGGAGGCAGCAGUGGGGAAUAUUGCGCAAUGGCCGAAAGCCUGACGCAGCAACGCCGCCUGAGGGAUGACGGCCUUCGGGUUGUAAACCUCUUUCAGCGCUGACGAAGCCUUUCGGGGUGACGGUAGGCGCAGAAGAAGCACCGGCUAACUACGUGCCAGCAGCCGCGGUAAUACGUAGGGUGCGAGCGUUGUCCGGAAUUAUUGGGCGUAAAGGGCUCGUAGGCGGUUUGUUGCGUCUGCUGUGAAAGCCCGGGGCUUAACCCCGGGUCUGCAGUGGAUACGGGCAGGCUAGAGUCCGGCAGGGGAGACUGGAAUUCCUGGUGUAGCGGUGGAAUGCGCAGAUAUCAGGAGGAACACCGGUGGCGAAGGCGGGUCUCUGGGCCGGUACUGACGCUGAGGAGCGAAAGCGUGGGGAGCGAACAGGAUUAGAUACCCUGGUAGUCCACGCCGUAAACGUUGGGCGCUAGGUGUGGGUUCCCUUCCACGGGAUCCGUGCCGUAGCUAACGCAUAAGCG